UAGGGAAUCUUCCACAAUGGGCGCAAGCCUGAUGGAGCAACGCCGCGUGAGUGAAGAAGGUCUUCGGAUCGUAAAACUCUGUUGUUAGAGAAGAACAUGCAGGAGAGUAACUGUUCCUGUAUUGACGGUAUCUAACCAGAAAGCCACGGCUAACUACGUGCCAG
RNAcentral lists this ribosomal RNA (164 nucleotides) under uncultured bacterium. RNAcentral describes it as "partial 16S rRNA". It matches the Rfam family "Bacterial small subunit ribosomal RNA", at positions 355 to 511 of the family's 1533-position model. The record is from RNAcentral.